RNAcentral lists this ribosomal RNA (757 nucleotides) under uncultured bacterium. RNAcentral's name for it is "bacterial SSU rRNA". It matches the Rfam family "Bacterial small subunit ribosomal RNA", at positions 8 to 796 of the family's 1533-position model. The record is from RNAcentral.
AGAGUUUGAUCAUGGCUCAGAAUCAACGCUGGCGGCGUGCCUAACACAUGCAAGUCGAACGAGAAAGGGACUUCGGUCCUGAGUAAAGUGGCGCACGGGUGAGUAACACGUGACUAACCUACCCUUGAGUGGGGAAUAGCCGAGGGAAACCUUGAUUAAUACCGCAUAAUACCUACGGGUCAAAGGAGCAAUUCGCUUAAGGAGGGGGUCGCGGCAGAUUAGCUAGUUGGCGGGGUAAUGGCCCACCAAGGCGGUGAUCUGUAUCCGGCCUGAGAGGGCGCACGGACACACUGGAACUGAAACACGGUCCAGACUCCUACGGGAGGCAGCAGUGGGGAAUUUUGCGCAAUGGGGGAAACCCUGACGCAGCAACGCCGCGUGGAGGAUGAAGUCCCUUGGGGCGUAAACUCCUUUCGAUCGGGAAGAUAAUGACGGUACCGAGAGAAGAAGCCCCGGCUAACUUCGUGCCAGCAGCCGCGGUAAUACGAGGGGGGCGAGCGUUGUUCGGGAAUUAUUGGGCGUAAAGGGUGCGUAGGCGGUUCGGUAAGUCUUAUGUGAAAUCUUCGGGCUCAACUCGAAGUCUGCAUGAGAAACUGCCGGGCUUGAGUGUGGGAGAGGUGAGUGGAAUUUCCGGUGUAGCGGUGAAAUGCGUAGAUAUCGGAAGGAACACCUGUGGCGAAAGCGGCUCACUGGACCACAACUGACGCUGAUGCACGAAAGCUAGGGGAGCAAACAGGAUUAGAUACCCUAGUAGUCC